GAUGAAGAACGUAGUGAAAUGCGAUAAGUAAUGUGAAUUGCAGAAUUCAGUGAAUCAUCGAAUCUUUGAACGCACAUUGCGCCCGCCAGUAUUCUGGCGGGCAUGCCUGUUCGAGCGUCAUUUCAACCAUCAAGCCCCAGGCUUGUGUUGGGGACCUGCGGCUGCCGCAGGCCCUGAAAACCAGUGGCGGGCUCGCUGUCACACCGGGCGUAGUAGAUUUUAUCUCGCUCAGGGCGUGCUGCGGGUUCCGGCCGUUAAAAAGCCUUUUUUACCCAAGGUUUACCUCGGAUCAGGUAGGAAUACCCGCUGAACUUAAGCAUAUCAAUAAGCGGAGGA
RNAcentral lists this unclassified non-coding RNA (336 nucleotides) under soil metagenome. Its description in RNAcentral is "partial contains 5.8S ribosomal RNA, internal transcribed spacer 2, and large subunit ribosomal RNA". The stretch from base 1 to 120 matches the Rfam family "5.8S ribosomal RNA", at positions 35 to 154 of the family's 154-position model. The record is from RNAcentral.